GUCGGCGUAGAGCAGCCCGGUAGCUCGCCAGCCUCACAAGCUGGAGGUCGCAGGUUCGAAUCCUGUCGCCGCAACCA
RNAcentral lists this transfer RNA (77 nucleotides) under Sinorhizobium medicae. Its description in RNAcentral is "tRNA-Val". It matches the Rfam family "tRNA". Rfam says of the family: Transfer RNA (tRNA) molecules are approximately 80 nucleotides in length. Their secondary structure includes four short double-helical elements and three loops (D, anti-codon, and T loops). Further hydrogen bonds mediate the characteristic L-shaped molecular structure. tRNAs have two regions of fundamental functional importance: the anti-codon, which is responsible for specific mRNA codon recognition, and the 3' end, to which the tRNAs corresponding amino acid is attached (by aminoacyl-tRNA synthetases). tRNAs cope with the degeneracy of the genetic code in two manners: having more than one tRNA (with a specific anti-codon) for a particular amino acid; and 'wobble' base-pairing, i.e. permitting non-standard base-pairing at the 3rd anti-codon position. Lineage: Bacteria; Pseudomonadati; Pseudomonadota; Alphaproteobacteria; Hyphomicrobiales; Rhizobiaceae. The record is from RNAcentral.